Molecule: ribosomal RNA, 274 nt
Filed under: uncultured bacterium
Lineage: Bacteria
Description: partial 16S ribosomal RNA
Rfam family: Archaeal small subunit ribosomal RNA
Source: RNAcentral
AAACCAGCACCUCAAGUGGUCAGGAUGAUUAUUGGGCCUAAAGCAUCCGUAGCCUGAUCUGUAAGUUUUCGGUUAAAUCUGUACGCUCAACGUACAGGCUGCCGGGAAUACUGCAGAGCUAGGGAGUGGGAGAGGUAGACGGUACUCGGGAGGAAGUGGUAAAAUGCUUUGAUCUCUCGAUGACCACCUGUGGCGAAGGCGGUCUACCAGAACACGUCCGACGGUGAGGGAUGAAAGCUGGGGGAGCAAACCGGAUUAGAAACCCUAGUAGUCC